GUUUGAAUGAGGUGGCUGGGGCAAAGGAAGACAACGUCCAUUUUCUGAGGAGCUAUGCUGCAGAGAGGCCCCCAGCACCCUCGGAAGAGUUGAAGCAGGGCCAUCGAAUCCUCUGGUUCUGUGGUUGUGGGACCUGAGGCGGCAGCUUGGGGAAAAAGGCUUCAAUCCAUGAAUUGGGCUUCCUAAUCAGCAACAUGGAAACUAAAGCCAGCUCCACGCAGCAGCAUGUGAGGAAGUCAGAGACUCCAAAUGGAGGGGCCGGCUGAAGCCAUGGCAGAAGAACGUGGAUUGUGAAGAUUUCUUGGACAUUUAUUAGUUCCCCAAAUUAAUACUUUUAUAAUUUGUUAUGCCUGUCUUUACUGCAAUCUCUAAACAUAAACUGUAAAGAUUUCAUGGACACUUAUCACUUCCCCAAUUAAUACCCUUGUGAUUUCCUAUGCCUGUCUUUAAUCUCUUAAUCCUGUCAGCUGAGGAGGAUGUAUAUCGCCUCAGGACCCUGUAAUAAUUGCAUUAACUGCACAAAUUGUACAGCAUGUGUGUUUGAGCAAUAUGAAAUGUGGGCACCUUAAAAAAAGAACAGCAUAACAGCAAUUGUUCAGGGAAUAAGAGAGAUAACCUUAAACUCUGUCCACCAGUGAGCUGGGUGGAACAGAGCCAUAUUUCUCUUCUUUCAAAAGCAAAUGGGAGAAAUAUCACCGAAUUCUUUUUCUCAGCAUGGAACAUCCCCGAGAAAGAGAAUGCGCACCUGGGGGUAGGUCUCUAAACUGGCCCCACUGGGCGUGGUCGUCUCUUAUGGUCGAGACUGCAGAGGUGAGAUAGACUCCAGUCUCCCAUAGCGCUCCCAGGCUUAUUAGGAAGACGAAAUUCCUGCCGAAUAAAUUUUGGUCCGAUGGUUGAUCUCAAAACUCUGUCUCCUGAUAAGAUGUUAUCAAUGACAACAGUGCCUGAAACUUCAUUAGCAAUUUUAAUUUUGCCUCAGUCCUGUGGUCCUGUGAUCUCACCCUGCCUCCACUUGCCUUGUGAUAUUCUAUUACCUUGUAAAGUACUUUAUGUCUGUGACCCACACCUAUUUGCACACUCCCUCCCCUUUUGAAACUCCCUAAUAAAAACUUGCUGGUUUUUGUGGCUUGUGGGGCAUCACGGAACCUAC
Molecule: long non-coding RNA, 1150 nt
Organism: Homo sapiens (human)
Lineage: Eukaryota; Metazoa; Chordata; Mammalia; Primates; Hominidae
Source: Ensembl